Molecule: ribosomal RNA, 497 nt
Filed under: uncultured bacterium
Lineage: Bacteria
Description: partial 16S ribosomal RNA
Rfam family: Bacterial small subunit ribosomal RNA
Source: RNAcentral
GAUGAACGCUGGCGGCGUGCCUAAUACAUGCAAGUCGAGCGAACGGACGAGAAGCUUGCUUCUCUGUUGUUAGCGGCGGACGGGUGAGUAACACGUGGAUAACCUACCUAUAAGACUGGGAUAACUUCGGGAAACCGGAGCUAAUACCGGAUAAUAUUUUGAACCGCAUGGUUCAAAAGUGAAAGACGGUCUUGCUGUCACUUAUAGAUGGAUCCGCGCUGCAUUAGCUAGUUGGUAAGGUAACGGCUUACCAAGGCAACGAUGCGUAGCCGACGUGAGAGGGUGAUAGGCCACACUGGAACUGGGACACGCUCCGGACUCCUGCGGGAGGCAGCAGUAGGGAAUCUUCCGCAAUGGGCGAAAGCCUGACGGAGCAACGCCGCGUGAGUGAUGAAGGUGUUCGGAUCGUAAAACUCUGUUAUUAGGGAAGAACAUAUGUGUACGUAACUGUGCACAUCUUGACGGUACCUAAUCAGAAAGCCACGGCUAACUACGUG